GUUUUCCAUUCCCGUGUGCUGUGGGCUCCAUCUGGCCAACCUCCGGCAAAUGUGCCUUUGACUUCUCUUGAUAAAGUCACACGACAAGGAAAACCCCCACAGUAAGAAUAGUAAGAGAAAAG
This is an unclassified non-coding RNA of Cavia aperea (Brazilian guinea pig), 122 nucleotides long. NCBI's taxonomy places the organism in Eukaryota, Metazoa, Chordata, Mammalia, Rodentia, Caviidae. The record is from Ensembl.